UAUCCACUAUUACCCUCAUAUACCGAUUGGUCUCUACAUACAUUUCUUAUCUUUUAUUUAUCGCAGGUUUGAGUGAGUGGUUGUCAACAAAAAGAACGGAAAGCGAACACACACACAUAGUUGAAAGCUAGACAGCUGCACAAAAUGGAUUCUCUGGAGAUUUAACAGCGACGCUGAGCGACGCACCAACUUCUAAUAGCAAUUGAGUAAGACAAAGAGACACGCUCUCUAGGCUUGCGUCGCAGACUUAACAGAGCGUCGACGUCGUAAGAGAAAAGGCGCAUCCAGUGCUCCGUUAGCAGCAACGUUGUUUACUGCGCAGUAGUUUCGGGUCGCUUGAAGAGUGCAGACGUGCGGGGAGAGGUGCACUGACGAUCGACGCUUGUGAAAUAAGUGGCAAGGCAACCGGAAAGCAAAACGAUUCUGGGCGUGUUAAUCUGAUCAAAGUGCGGCAGCUACGAAAACAACGCAACAAUUUUGCGCCAAAUGAAAGAACAACACGAAAUUUGUGCAAACUUUUGGCCGCCGCCGUCGUUUGCUGUGGCUGUUGUGGCCCAGCCGAGCAGCCAGCUGCCGCACACACAUGGCGAGGCUUGGAAACGGAAGCCACACACACACACGCACACACAAACGCACACAUAUUCACAUAUGGAGCUAAAUAAACUGCUCAUUAUUA
Non-coding RNA from Drosophila virilis, 676 nucleotides. NCBI's taxonomy places the organism in Eukaryota, Metazoa, Arthropoda, Insecta, Diptera, Drosophilidae. The record is from RefSeq and is a predicted model, not a curated record.